ACNGGUAACUAGUUCUGAGGUGCUUCCCUUU
RNAcentral lists this non-coding RNA (31 nucleotides) under Mus musculus (house mouse). Lineage: Eukaryota; Metazoa; Chordata; Mammalia; Rodentia; Muridae. The record is from RNAcentral.